This 222-nucleotide ribosomal RNA is filed under the name uncultured Enterobacterales bacterium. RNAcentral's name for it is "partial 16S ribosomal RNA". It matches the Rfam family "Bacterial small subunit ribosomal RNA", at positions 109 to 334 of the family's 1533-position model. The record is from RNAcentral. Lineage: Bacteria; Pseudomonadati; Pseudomonadota; Gammaproteobacteria; Enterobacterales.
AGUAAUGUCUGGGAAACUGCCUGAUGGAGGGGGAUAACUACUGGAAACGGUAGCUAAUACCGCAUAACGUCGCAAGACCAAAGUGGGGGACCUUCGGGCCUCAUGCCAUCAGAUGUGCCCAGAUGGGAUUAGCUAGUAGGUGGGGUAAUGGCUCACCUAGGCGACGAUCCCUAGCUGGUCUGAGAGGAUGACCAGCCACACUGGAACUGAGACACGGUCCAG